Non-coding RNA from Apodospora peruviana, 106 nucleotides. Lineage: Eukaryota; Fungi; Ascomycota; Sordariomycetes; Sordariales; Lasiosphaeriaceae. The record is from the annotation of a GenBank genome assembly.
GGCUCAAUGGUCUAGUCGUAUGAUUCGCGCUUCGGGAAUACUCCCUCACCUCCAAACAGGUGAUCAAAGAUGUGCGAGGUCCCGGGUUCAAAUCCCGGUUGAGCCC